UACGUAGGGUGCGAGCGUUAAUCGGAAUUACUGGGCGUAAAGCGUGCGCAGGCGGUUGAGCAAGACAGAUGUGAAAUCCCCGGGCUUAACCUGGGAACUGCAUUUGUGACUGUUUGGCUGGAAUCUGGCAGAGGGGGGUAGAAUUCCAUGUGUAGCAGUGAAAUGCGUAGAUAUGUGGAGGAAUACCGAUGGCGAAGGCAGCCCCCUGGGCCGAGAUUGACGCUCAAGCACGAAAGCGUGGGGAGCAAACAGG
This 253-nucleotide ribosomal RNA is filed under the name uncultured bacterium. RNAcentral's name for it is "partial 16S ribosomal RNA". It matches the Rfam family "Bacterial small subunit ribosomal RNA", at positions 524 to 776 of the family's 1533-position model. The record is from RNAcentral.